Gallus gallus (chicken) is the source of this 658-nucleotide long non-coding RNA. The record is from Ensembl. NCBI's taxonomy places the organism in Eukaryota, Metazoa, Chordata, Aves, Galliformes, Phasianidae.
GUACAGACAAGUGCUGGAGACUCACAGAAAUGAAGCAACUCCCCUGCUCCUCACAAAAUGAUGUGGUGGUGCCAGUAGCUGCUGACACUUACUCUGCUACUGCUUCAGCUGCAGGAAAACUGGGCACAGGUCAGACUUGCUGCCAUCCAUCCUUGUAGCUGGAGUUGGAGAUUUUCGAGCCACAGGAUGCUCAGGGAUGUGAGGUGCCUCAGUGCUCCUUUUACUAGUUUAUCUCUAAGCUGUCUUCAAACCUCCUUGAAAGCUAACAUCAUCCAUGGGCAAUCAGGAUCUCAGAGCAGAGAGGGCUGCUACCGAGUCUUGAGCAACACAGGGAGGAAAGUCUGCCAGCACUCCUCCAACCUUCAGCAGCCACUCCAGACACAAGCCAAAGGCAGGAGAUGCAGCAGGUGUGGAAGUGUAACUGGACCACGAACUCUACGUUCUUAUUUUGGAGCUAGUGGAAUAGGACAGACCUACCAGUCCUGAGCUUCAAGCUGCUGGAAUCAAUACCUUGCUUGAAAGAUUUAACACUUAUUUCUACCAAGCCUGGAAUUGUCAGCUGAGAUUUUCUCUACAGGAUAUUAGCAGAAACCAAUUGAGUGAUUCAAGCUGCUACGAAUCCCUCCACUGGGAAGGUUCUAGAUAGUCUGGAUCAGGC